UUGCUACGCUGGUGCCUGGAGCCAGCCCUGUCUACAGAGCAGGCAUAGCCUAGGCAGCAGCAGAGCAAGCUUCCCUCACACAUGCUGCCAUGCCAAUGUGCCUCGUCCUGAUCUGACAGAACUCCCGCUACCCUCUCCUAGGGGUAGGUCAUUUUCACAUUCUGCAGCCCAUGCAGUCCUUGGCAUCU
Chelonoidis abingdonii (Abingdon island giant tortoise) is the source of this 188-nucleotide unclassified non-coding RNA. NCBI's taxonomy places the organism in Eukaryota, Metazoa, Chordata, Testudines, Testudinidae. The record is from Ensembl.